Molecule: transfer-messenger RNA, 309 nt
Filed under: Geminicoccaceae bacterium
Lineage: Bacteria; Pseudomonadati; Pseudomonadota; Alphaproteobacteria; Geminicoccales; Geminicoccaceae
Rfam family: Alphaproteobacteria transfer-messenger RNA
About the family: Bacterial tmRNA, also known as 10Sa RNA or SsrA, is named for its dual tRNA and mRNA-like properties. Its role is to liberate the mRNA from a stalled ribosome.
Source: RNAcentral
GCCCUUUGCACAUCGGCCGCGAGGGCUUAUAUGCAUCUUGUCGCUUGGUCGACUAUGGCGAUAAACGCCCGUCGGAAUAGGCGUAGCGGACCCGGGGGCAGUGCCCGGCGCCUCCACCAAUCAUCCCACCACGGGAUCUCACGGGGGCGAACCAGGAUCGACGCGCGUAGUAAAGGGCUGGCUUUCGCUCGGCAUGGUACCGCCGUUAUCGGGCCAAAAGCACAAGUGCCAACGACAAUGACGUUGCACUCGCUGCCGCCUAACACGGCAAGCGCGGCUUGAAGGGGCCGGGCAACAGAACCCUUCACG